This is a non-coding RNA of Schistosoma curassoni, 46 nucleotides long. The record is from Rfam. Lineage: Eukaryota; Metazoa; Platyhelminthes; Trematoda; Strigeidida; Schistosomatidae.
GUAAAGGCCCUAUUCAGGGCCACCCAAAAUUUGAUUUAAGUUCUUU